GGGGGGAGCAAGCGUUGUUCGGAUUUACUGGGCGUAAAGGGCGCGUAGGCGGCCACCGCAAGUCGACUGUGAAAUCUCUGGGCUUAACCCAGAACGGUCAGCCGAUACUGCGGGGCUAGAGUGCAGAAGGGGCAACUGGAAUUCUCGGUGUAGCGGUGAAAUGCGUAGAUAUCGAGAGGAACACCUGCGGCGAAGGCGGGUUGCUGGGCUGACACUGACGCUGAGGCGCGGAAGCUAGGGGAGCGAACGGGAUUAGAUACCCCGGUAGUCCUAGCCUUAAACGAUGAAUGCUUGGUGUCUGGGGUUUUAUAGUCCCCGGGUGCCGUCGCUAACGCUUUAAGCAUUCCGCCUGGGGAGUACGGUCGCAAGACUG
This 373-nucleotide ribosomal RNA is filed under the name uncultured organism. Its description in RNAcentral is "bacterial SSU rRNA". It matches the Rfam family "Bacterial small subunit ribosomal RNA", at positions 527 to 896 of the family's 1533-position model. The record is from RNAcentral.